This is a small nucleolar RNA of Sorex araneus (European shrew), 103 nucleotides long. The record is from Ensembl. NCBI's taxonomy places the organism in Eukaryota, Metazoa, Chordata, Mammalia, Eulipotyphla, Soricidae.
AUUCUUUACCAGUUCAUAAGUAUCAUGAUUGAGUGUUCCCACAUUCCUGUGACGUGUGUCUCCCUUAAAUCUUGUUACACACUUGCACAUUACUCAUCUGAUG